GUGCUGUGAUGGUUUGAUCAACACAUCAUUCUGACCUCAAAGUGGGGAAAGAUUUCAAUGUAACUGAGCAUG
Scleropages formosus (Asian bonytongue) is the source of this 72-nucleotide small nucleolar RNA. Its record names the gene SNORD63. It matches the Rfam family "Small nucleolar RNA SNORD63". Rfam says of the family: snoRNA U63 is found in both humans and mice. Lineage: Eukaryota; Metazoa; Chordata; Actinopteri; Osteoglossiformes; Osteoglossidae. The record is from Ensembl.